RNAcentral lists this ribosomal RNA (510 nucleotides) under uncultured bacterium. Its description in RNAcentral is "bacterial SSU rRNA". It matches the Rfam family "Bacterial small subunit ribosomal RNA", at positions 19 to 518 of the family's 1533-position model. The record is from RNAcentral.
CUGGCUCAGAACGAACGCUGGCGGCGCGUCUUAAGCAUGCAAGUCGAACGGCAAGAGGUAGCAAUACCUCCUAGAGUGGCGGACUGGUGAGUAACACGUGGGUGACAUACCCUUCAGAUGGGGAUAGCUAUUAGAAAUAGUAGAUAAUACCGAAUACGAGCACAGGGGUUAGAGAUCUGUGAGGAAAGGAGCUAAGGCUCCGCUGAAGGAAUGGCCUGCGGCCCAUUAGCUAGUUGGUGAGGUAAGAGCCCACCAAGGCGAUGAUGGGUAUCCGGCCUUAGAGGGUGAACGGACACAUUGGGACUGAGAUACGGCCCAGACUCCUACGGGAGGCAGCAGCUAAGAAUAUUCCGCAAUGGACGAAAGUCUGACGGAGCGACGCCGCGUGGAUGAAGAAGGCCGGAAGGUUGUAAAAUCCUUUUGAAACUGAAGAAUAAGCGUUGUAGGGAAUGACAGCGUGGUGACAGUAGGUUUUGAAUAAGCAACGGCUAAUUACGUGCCAGCCGCCGC